GACGAACGCUGGCGGCGUGCUUAACACAUGCAAGUCGAACGGAAAGGCCCUGCUUUUGUGGGGUGCUCGAGUGGCGAACGGGUGAGUAACACGUGAGUAACCUGCCCUUGACUUUGGGAUAACUUCAGGAAACUGGGGCUAAUACCGGAUAGGAGCUCCUGCUGCAUGGUGGGGGUUGGAAAGUUUCGGCGGUUGGGGAUGGACUCGCGGCUUAUCAGCUUGUUGGUGGGGUAGUGGUUUACCAAGGCUUUGACGGGUAGCCGGCCUGAGAGGGUGACCGGACACAUUGGGACUGAGAUACGGCCCAGACUACUACGGGAGGCAGCAGUGGGGAAUAUUGCACAAUGGGCGGAAGCAUGAUGCAGCAACGCCGCGUGCGGGAUGACGGCCUUCGGGUUGUAAACCGCUUUCGCCUGUGACGAAGCGUGAGUGACGGUAAUGGGUAAAGAAGCACCGGCUAACUACGUG
This 468-nucleotide ribosomal RNA is filed under the name uncultured bacterium. RNAcentral's name for it is "partial 16S ribosomal RNA". It matches the Rfam family "Bacterial small subunit ribosomal RNA", at positions 28 to 507 of the family's 1533-position model. The record is from RNAcentral.